RNAcentral lists this transfer RNA (64 nucleotides) under Sinomicrurus macclellandi (MacClellands coral snake). Its description in RNAcentral is "tRNA-His". Lineage: Eukaryota; Metazoa; Chordata; Lepidosauria; Squamata; Elapidae. The record is from RNAcentral.
GUGUGCGUAAUUUAAAAAAAAUACCAAGCUGUGAUCUUGGCAAUAGAAACACUUCUCACACAUG